GAUGAACGCUAGCGGCAGGCUUAAUACAUGCAAGUCGAGGGGCAGCACGGUUAGCAAUAACUGGUGGCGACCGGCGCACGGGUGCGUAACACGUAUACAAUCUACCUUAAACAGGGGAUAGCCUUUCGAAAGAGAGAUUAAUACCCCGUAAUAAAUUGAACGGCAUCGUUUGAUUUUGAAAGCUCCGGCGGUUUGAGAUGAGUAUGCGUCUGAUUAGCUAGUUGGUGAGGUAACGGCUCACCAAGGCGACGAUCAGUAGGGGAUCUGAGAGGACUAACCCCCCACACUGGUACUGAGACACGGACCAGACUCCUACGGGAGGCAGCAGUAAGGAAUAUUGGUCAAUGGAGGCAACUCUGAACCAGCCAUGCCGCGUGCAGGAUGACGGCCCUAUGGGUUGUAAACUGCUUUUAUACAAGAGAAAACCCUGGUACGUGUACCAGGUUGAUAGUAUUGUAAGAAUAAGCAUCGGCUAACUUCGUGCCAGCAGCCGCGGUAAU
RNAcentral lists this ribosomal RNA (500 nucleotides) under uncultured bacterium. Its description in RNAcentral is "bacterial SSU rRNA". It matches the Rfam family "Bacterial small subunit ribosomal RNA", at positions 28 to 524 of the family's 1533-position model. The record is from RNAcentral.